GGUUAGUUCAGUUGGUUAGAGCAUGGUGCUGACGACCCCAAGGUUGCAGGUUCGAUCCCCAUAAAGGACA
Molecule: transfer RNA, 70 nt
Filed under: Podarcis lilfordi (Lilford's wall lizard)
Lineage: Eukaryota; Metazoa; Chordata; Lepidosauria; Squamata; Lacertidae
Description: tRNA.Val
Source: RNAcentral